RNAcentral lists this ribosomal RNA (503 nucleotides) under uncultured bacterium. RNAcentral's name for it is "bacterial SSU rRNA". It matches the Rfam family "Bacterial small subunit ribosomal RNA", at positions 15 to 507 of the family's 1533-position model. The record is from RNAcentral.
GAUCCUGGCUCAGGAUGAACGCUAGCUACAGGCUUAACACAUGCAAGUCGCGGGGCAGCAUUUUCCUAGCUUGCUAGGGAAGAUGGCGACCGGCGCACGGGUGAGUAACGCGUAUCCAACCUUCCCAUGUCCACGGGAUAGCCCGUCGAAAGGCGGAUUAAUACCGUAUGAGGUCACAUGCGGGCAUCUAAGUGUGACGAAAGGUUUUGCGGACAUGGAUGGGGAUGCGUCCGAUUAGCUUGUUGGCGGGGUAACGGCCCACCAAGGCGACGAUCGGUAGGGGUUCUGAGAGGAAGGUCCCCCACAUUGGAACUGAGACACGGUCCAAACUCCUACGGGAGGCAGCAGUGAGGAAUAUUGGUCAAUGGGCGUAAGCCUGAACCAGCCAAGUAGCGUGCAGGAUGACGGCCCUAUGGGUUGUAAACUGCUUUUAUGCGGGGAUAAAGUGUGGGACGUGUCCCAUAUUGCAGGUACCGCAUGAAUAAGGACCGGCUAAUUCCGUG